Apus apus (common swift) is the source of this 413-nucleotide long non-coding RNA. RefSeq lists it as uncharacterized. The transcript is spliced from 3 exons. The record is from RefSeq and is a predicted model, not a curated record. Lineage: Eukaryota; Metazoa; Chordata; Aves; Apodiformes; Apodidae.
UUCUGUGUUGUUUAGCUCUUGACCAGCCGUAACUGUCAAGAUUUUGGUGCAUUGCGCAGCUGCUGGAUCCACCUGCACCUGGAGGUUUGUGCUGGCAUGACAGGUGAGCAGCCCUGGAAGUAGGGGAGACUAGGUUGCCUCUCUGGGCAGCUCUACAGGCACCAGCCACCCUGUGCUGCUGGGAAGAGCCCUGGGAACCAGCUGCGUUCUGCUGAACGGAAGGUUCCUCCUAUUUACUGGAUUUCAAUCUUAGCUGAACAAAAUGGGCUGACAGGGCAAGUGGAACACAGUCACCUGUCCCAGUAUGACAGAAGGAAGGAAAAGGUGCCUGUUGCAGAGGCCAGCACCGAGCCAAGGUGAUUUUAAUGAAUUCCCUAUUUUUUGUUUGGGUUUUUUUUCCCGUUUCCCACUUA